Quercus robur (English oak) is the source of this 1229-nucleotide long non-coding RNA. RefSeq lists it as uncharacterized. The transcript is spliced from 2 exons. The record is from RefSeq and is a predicted model, not a curated record. NCBI's taxonomy places the organism in Eukaryota, Viridiplantae, Streptophyta, Magnoliopsida, Fagales, Fagaceae.
UACCAGCAAGAUCUUUCUGCAAUUGAAAAACUCGAGGUCCAUUCCCUUGUGAAAACCUCUCUUGAAGAUUAUUCCAAACAUCCAGUGCUGAAUUGCGAUAAGUCAUGCUUAUUGCAAUCUUUGGAGAUACGCAAUUUAGAAUUACAGCCCUUUCCAUGUUGUUCUUGUGGAAAGUGCACAUGUAAUGUCAAUGGCAAAAUAGCUGAUCUUCAACAUAGAGAUUCAGUGAUGCAAUUGUUAAUGGGGCUUAAUGAGUCUUUUAGCCAGGUUAGAGGUCAGGUUUUACUCAUGGAUCUCCUGCCUCCUCUCCACAAAGUCUAUUCUUUGUUAAUUCAAGAAGAGAGACAAAGAUCAAUUGGACAAUCUCAUGGACCUUUUGUUGAGUCCACAGCUCUUGCUACUAAAGCUGUGAAUUCAGGUGCAGCUACUGGAACAAAGAACUAUAAGAAAGGCAAAGAAAGACCAACAUGCAGUCACUGUGGCUUGAUUGGACACACUGUAAAUAAGUGCUACAAGAUCCAUGGUUAUCCACUUGGAUAUAAAGCCAAAUCCAGAAAUCCUGUUGCAAAUCAAGUGUCAUGUGUUGAUUUUGGUCCUAAUCAGAUUGGUCCUCAAACCAGUUUGGACUUCAGUCACAGCAACUUGUUUCUCAGCCACAGUUCAAUGGCACAGUUGGUAAUCAACCUGUUUCUCAGCCUCAAUUCACUAGCACAGUUGGCACUCAGCCCCAAUUUCGUAGCACAACACACUCCCCAUUCACACCAGAGCAAUACCAAAAGAUUCUUGCCAUGAUUGGUGGCCAGGAGGUUGCUUCCACUGCCAUUGGAAUGGCUAAUAAUGUGUCUUUUCCAUUACACAACCUACUCCUUUGACAGGACCUCAUCUAUUGGUGGAAGAUUGGGAAGGGUGGAGUCAGCAAUGGACUCUAUUUGCUGCAGAAUAUCACAUCUGCUUCAGCAGUUUCACCAUCAUCCCUUCAAGAUUAUAUUUCUCAAUUCAGAUCUACCCAUUCUGCCACUAUUUCUGCACAAGUUUCUGUCCAAGACAUGUCUUUUCUAUGGCAAUUUAGGUUAGGACACCCUUCUUUCAAGAGGUUAUUACCUUAAAAGAUGUACUUUCUUCUUUUUCUGCAAAUUGCAAAGAUGUAUGUACUGUUUGUCCUUUGGCAAAGCAAAAAAUUCUAUCCUUUCCAUUCAAUAAUAAUAUUUGUUUCAACCCUUUUGAUUUGA